GACGAAGGGUGCAAGCGUUGUUCGGAAUCACUGGGCUUAAAGCGCACGCAGGCGGAUUGAUAAGUCGGUGGUGAAAGCCCGGGGCUCAACCUCGGAAUUGCCUUGGAUACUGUCGGUCUUGAGUCCGGGAGAGGUGAGUGGAACUUUUAGUGUAGAGGUGAAAUUCGUAGAUAUCAGGAAGAACACCAGUGGCGAAGGCGGGGCACUGGCCCGGUACUGACGCUAAGGUGCGAAAGCGUGGGGAGCAAACGGG
This 253-nucleotide ribosomal RNA is filed under the name uncultured bacterium. Its description in RNAcentral is "partial 16S ribosomal RNA". It matches the Rfam family "Bacterial small subunit ribosomal RNA", at positions 524 to 776 of the family's 1533-position model. The record is from RNAcentral.